This 55-nucleotide transfer RNA is filed under the name Mesonia sp. Its description in RNAcentral is "tRNA-Phe". It matches the Rfam family "tRNA", at positions 8 to 60 of the family's 71-position model. From Rfam's summary of the family: Transfer RNA (tRNA) molecules are approximately 80 nucleotides in length. The record is from RNAcentral. Lineage: Bacteria; Pseudomonadati; Bacteroidota; Flavobacteriia; Flavobacteriales; Flavobacteriaceae.
UAGCUCAGUUGGUAGAGCAAAGGACUGAAAAUCCUUGUGUCCCUGGUUCGAUUCC